GGCAGGCAAGAUGUUGGCAUAGCUGAGUGUUUCGGUCUUCAGCUGCGCUACAUCUGGCCAGCCC
Molecule: non-coding RNA, 64 nt
Organism: Trichuris muris
Lineage: Eukaryota; Metazoa; Nematoda; Enoplea; Trichinellida; Trichuridae
Source: Rfam